This 465-nucleotide ribosomal RNA is filed under the name uncultured bacterium. Its description in RNAcentral is "partial 16S ribosomal RNA". It matches the Rfam family "Bacterial small subunit ribosomal RNA", at positions 338 to 795 of the family's 1533-position model. The record is from RNAcentral.
CCUACGGGAGGCAGCAGUGGGGAAUAUUGCGCAAUGGGCGAAAGCCUGACGCAGCGACGCCGCGUGAGGGAUGAGGGUCUUCGGAUUGUAAACCUCUGUCAGCAGGGAAGAACGGUCACUGUGCUAAUCAGCAGUGAAUUGACGGUACCUGCAAAGGAAGCACCGGCUAACUCCGUGCCAGCAGCCGCGGUAAUACGGAGGGUGCGAGCGUUAAUCGGAAUUACUGGGCGUAAAGCGCUCGUAGGCGGUAUGUCAAGUCAAGGGUGAAAUCCCCGCGCUCAACGUGGGAACUGCCUUUGAAACUGGCAAACUGGAGUGUGUGAGAGGAUAGUGGAAUGCCAGGUGUAGGGGUGAAAUGCGUAGAUAUCUGGAGGAACAUCAGUGGCGAAGGCGACUAUCUGGCACAUAACUGACGCUGAGGAGCGAAAGCGUGGGUAGCAAACAGGAUUAGAUACCCCUGUAGUC